GAUGAACGCUGGCGGCGUGCUUAACACAUGCAAGUCGAACGGAAAGGCCCAAGCUUGCUUGGGUACUCGAGUGGCGAACGGGUGAGUAACACGUGGGUGAUCUGCCCUGCACUUCGGGAUAAGCCUGGGAAACUGGGUCUAAUACCGGAUAGGACCACAUUUUGGAUGGUGUGGUGGAAAGUUUUUCGGUGUGGGAUGAGCUCGCGGCCUAUCAGCUUGUUGGUGGGGUAAUGGCCUACCAAGGCGUCGACGGGUAGCCGGCCUGGGAGGGUGUACGGCCACAAUGGGACUGCGAGACGGCCCAGACUGCUACGGGAGGCAGCGGUGGGGAAUAUUGCGCAAUGGGCGCGAGCCGGAUGCAGCGACGCCGCGUGGGGGAUGACGGCCUUCGGGUUGUAAACUCCAUUCGCUAGGGACGAAGCGCAAGUGACGGUACCUGGAGAAGAAGCACCGGCUAACUACGUG
RNAcentral lists this ribosomal RNA (465 nucleotides) under uncultured bacterium. Its description in RNAcentral is "partial 16S ribosomal RNA". It matches the Rfam family "Bacterial small subunit ribosomal RNA", at positions 28 to 507 of the family's 1533-position model. The record is from RNAcentral.